GGGGCUAUAGCGCAGCUGGGAGAGCGCCUGCAGGGCAUGCAGGAGGUCAGCGGUUCGAUCCCGCUUAGCGCCGCCA
Molecule: transfer RNA, 76 nt
Filed under: Pseudomonas sp. PAGU 2196
Lineage: Bacteria; Pseudomonadati; Pseudomonadota; Gammaproteobacteria; Pseudomonadales; Pseudomonadaceae
Description: tRNA-Ala
Rfam family: tRNA
About the family: Transfer RNA (tRNA) molecules are approximately 80 nucleotides in length. Their secondary structure includes four short double-helical elements and three loops (D, anti-codon, and T loops).
Source: RNAcentral